AUGAGGCCCUUCUGUAAAGAUGGAGGGCUUACACCAACAAAUCUGCCCUGGGUAGACGGGACCACACUGAGCUAUGUGACAUAUAUGUACUGUUAUCCCAGAAGGAAGAACUACUGAAAGCUAUUGCCUCCCUUCAGCUAACAAAUUACACAGAUGUUAUCAAGGUACUAGAUGCAGUGAAGUGGAGGUGUAGACUUUUGAAUGCAUGUGAAGGUUCUAUCACAGGAGAAGAAAUGGAGUACCACUACAUGGCCUUACACUGGCACAUGUUCUACAA
Long non-coding RNA from Pecten maximus, 277 nucleotides. RefSeq lists it as uncharacterized. The transcript has 3 exons. The record is from RefSeq and is a predicted model, not a curated record. Lineage: Eukaryota; Metazoa; Mollusca; Bivalvia; Pectinida; Pectinidae.